GACGAACGCUGGCGGCGUGCUUAACGCAUGCAAGUCGAACGGAAAGGCCUGCUUUCCCUUGUGGAUUGCGGGUACUCGAGUGGCGAACGGGUGAGUAACACGUGAGUGAUCUGCCCCCAACUUGGGUAUAAGCCUGGGAAACUGGAUCUAAUUCCCGAUAGGACUGCAGGGUGGUGCCUGUGGUGGAAAACGAUUUUCUAGUGGUUGGGGAUGAGCUCGCGGCCUAUCAGCUUGUUGGUGGGGUAAUGGCCUACCAAGGCGGCGACGGGUAGCCGGCCUGGGAGGGUGGACGGCCACAUUGGGACUGAGAUACGGCCCCGACUCCUACGGGAGGCAGCAGUGGGGAAUAUUGGACAAUAGGCGGGAGCCUGAUGCAGCGACGCCGCGUGGGGGAUGACGGCCUUCGGGUUGUAAACCCCUUUCGACCGCGAGGAAGCCACCUGGUUGGAAGGGUGGUGACGGUAGUGGUAGAAGAAGCACCGGCUAACUACGUG
This 494-nucleotide ribosomal RNA is filed under the name uncultured bacterium. RNAcentral describes it as "partial 16S ribosomal RNA". It matches the Rfam family "Bacterial small subunit ribosomal RNA", at positions 28 to 507 of the family's 1533-position model. The record is from RNAcentral.